Molecule: ribosomal RNA, 987 nt
Filed under: Staphylococcus pasteuri
Lineage: Bacteria; Bacillati; Bacillota; Bacilli; Caryophanales; Staphylococcaceae
Description: bacterial SSU rRNA
Rfam family: Bacterial small subunit ribosomal RNA
Source: RNAcentral
GAGAACGCUGGCGGCGUGCCUAAUACAUGCAAGUCGUAGCGACAGAAUCAAGGAGCUUGCUCCUUUGACGUUAGCGGCGGACGGGUGAGUAACACGUGGAUAACCUACCUAUAAGACUGGGAUAACUUCGGGAAACCGGAGCUAAUACCGGAUAACAUAUUGAACCGCAUGGUUCAAUAGUGAAAGGCGGCUUUGCNUGUCACUUAUAGAUGGAUCCGCGCCGUAUUAGCUAGUUGGUAAGGUAACGGCUUACCAAGGCAACGAUACGUAGCCGACCUGAGAGGGUGAUCGGCCACACUGGAACUGAGACACGGUCCAGACUCCUACGGGAGGCAGCAGUAGGGAAUCUUCCGCAAUGGGCGAAAGCCUGACGGAGCAACGCCGCGUGAGUGAUGAAGGUCUUCGGAUCGUAAAACUCUGUUAUCAGGGAAGAACAAAUGUGUAAGUAACUGUGCACAUCUUGACGGUACCUGAUCAGAAAGCCACGGCUAACUACGUGCCAGCAGCCGCGGUAAUACGUAGGUGGCAAGCGUUAUCCGGAAUUAUUGGGCGUAAAGCGCGCGUAGGCGGUUUUUUAAGUCUGAUGUGAAAGCCCACGGCUCAACCGUGGAGGGUCAUUGGAAACUGGAAAACUUGAGUGCAGAAGAGGAAAGUGGAAUUCCAUGUGUAGCGGUGAAAUGCGCAGAGAUAUGGAGGAACACCAGUGGCGAAGGCGACUUUCUGGUCUGUAACUGACGCUGAUGUGCGAAAGCGUGGGGAUCAAACAGGAUUAGAUACCCUGGUAGUCCACGCCGUAAACGAUGAGUGCUAAGUGUUAGGGGGUUUCCGCCCCUUAGUGCUGCAGCUAACGCAUUAGCACUCCGCCUGGGGAGUACGACCGCAAGGUUGAAACUCAAAGGAAUUGACGGGGACCGCACAAGCGGUGGAGCAUGUGGUUUAAUUCGAAGCAACGCGAAGAACCUACCAAAUCUUGACAUCCUUUGACCG